GUGAGACUAGAAGUAGGAAGAAUAUAAUUAGGAGACUGUAUCAACAAUUAGACAAAGCUAAAUGUUCUUCACCUUUUGGGGCCUUAGAUCCCUUUUUAGAAUCACAUAUGUAUAUACACACACAUAAUUCACACAUACUAUCAGAUGGUUCACAGAUCUCUUAAAGUGUGUGAAUUCCAGCAUGGAAUCCCCUCUGCAGUUAUGUUUGCCUGUGCAUCUCCGGCAGCUGGAGGACGAAUCACAUCAGGCUGAUGAGUGUGUCACGCUCUUCAUCCCCCAAGAGCUGUGAUGAAGACCAAGACAAACAGUAGAUUAACAGUGCUACCUUUUAUAAGGCUGAUUAGUUCCUAAAAUAUGCUGAAAGGAAACAAAACCAAAAAGAAAAAAGAGUGGAAAGGGGGGUGAGACAGAAACCUUUGUCGAGUCUCAUUCCAUCACCCAGGCUGGAGUGCAGCGGCGUGAUCUUGGCAACCUCCACCUCCCAGGCUCAAGAAAUCCUCCCACCUCAGCCUCCCAAUAGCUGGAUCUACAGGCGUACACCACCACAAUCAGCUGUAUUUUUUGUAGAGACUGGGUUUCGCCAUGUUGCCCAGGGUGGUCAUGAACUUGUGAGCUCAAGUGAUCUGCCCGCCUCAGCCUCCCAAAGUGCUGGGAUUACAGGCAUGAGCCACCGCCCCUGGCCUAAUAAAAUUUAUUUUUAAAAAAGGACCUAUGGCGAAUCAUUUUUACAAAUAAAAUCUAUAGUCAAGGUGCAGUAUGGGAACAGCAUUUUACUGAGUAAUCUUGCAAAGAAUAUGUCAUUAACCACUACACUAAUCUUGUUCUUGAUGUACACCAGCAACAAAUACAAAGAAAAAUUUAGUCUCUUACUUUAACAGGUUCCAAGUAUGCCACAUCGUAUUUUUUGCCAAAUAAUUUAUUAGUAAGAGGAGAUGACUCUAGUAAGUUAUAGAAGUUAUAUUGAAUUUUUAAAAAAAAUUUUUCAAAACUAUUCUGUGGGGAUUGAGGACAGAUGAACUACAAAGGAACAUGAUGGAACUUUCUGGGGUGAGCAUAAUGUUCUAUAUGAUGAUAGGGGCUUGGGUUACAUAAGUGAGCAUUUAUGAAAACUGUACACUUUUUGUGCAUUUCAUUGUGUAUAAAGUUUACUUCAAAAAAAACAUUGAACUCCAAUUAAUUACAUGCAUGCUGAACUAUUUAGAGUGAAGUAUACUGAUGCCUGUUGUUUACUUUGAAGUAUUUCAAAACAGUAAAAUGGAUAGAGGAAUGUGUAAUAAAUUGGUACACGAUAAGGAAAAUAUAGUCAAUUAUGUUAAUAGUAAAAUCUAGAUGGUGAGUAAACUGGUG
Molecule: long non-coding RNA, 1347 nt
Filed under: Homo sapiens (human)
Lineage: Eukaryota; Metazoa; Chordata; Mammalia; Primates; Hominidae
Description: HSALNT0209602
Source: RNAcentral